This 213-nucleotide long non-coding RNA is filed under the name Mytilus galloprovincialis (Mediterranean mussel). The record is from RNAcentral. Lineage: Eukaryota; Metazoa; Mollusca; Bivalvia; Mytilida; Mytilidae.
GUCUGGAGCUGGCAUGUCAGUUAACUGCUAGUAGUCUGUUGUUAUUUAUGUAUUAUUGUCAUUUUAUUUAUUUUCUUUUGUUACAUCUUUUGACAUCAGACUCGGACUUCUCUUGAACUGAAUUUUAAUAUGCGUAUUGUUAUUCUUUUACUUUUCUACAUUGGCUAGAGGUAUAGGGGGAGGGUUGAGAUCUCAUAAACAUGUUUAACCCCG